RNAcentral lists this ribosomal RNA (467 nucleotides) under uncultured bacterium. RNAcentral describes it as "partial 16S ribosomal RNA". It matches the Rfam family "Bacterial small subunit ribosomal RNA", at positions 28 to 507 of the family's 1533-position model. The record is from RNAcentral.
GAUGAACGCUGGCGGCGUGCUUAACACAUGCAAGUCGAACGGAAAGGCUCCUGCUUGCAGGGGUACUCGAGUGGCGAACGGGUGAGUAACACGUGGGUGAUCUGCCCUGCACUUCGGGAUAAGCCUGGGAAACUGGGUCUAAUACCGGAUAGGACCACAUUUUGGAUGGUGUGGUGGAAAGUUUUUCGGGGUGGGAUGAGCUCGCGGCCUAUCAGCUUGUUGGUGGGGUAAUGGCCUACCAAGGCGUCGACGGGUAGCCGGCCUGAGAGGGUGUACGGCCACAUUGGGACUGAGAUACGGCCCAGACUCCUACGGGAGGCAGCAGUGGGGAAUAUUGCACAAUGGGCGCAAGCCUGAUGCAGCGACGCCGCGUGGGGGAUGACGGCCUUCGGGUUGUAAACUCCUUUCGCUAGGGACGAAGCGUUUUUGUGACGGUACCUGGAGAAGAAGCACCGGCUAACUACGUG